RNAcentral lists this long non-coding RNA (237 nucleotides) under Lathyrus oleraceus (garden pea). RNAcentral describes it as "Pisum sativum (pea) long non-coding RNA (PSAT_LNC000472)". Lineage: Eukaryota; Viridiplantae; Streptophyta; Magnoliopsida; Fabales; Fabaceae. The record is from RNAcentral.
UUUUACAUAUGUUUAGUGCUUUAAUAGUUAUUUUGAUAUCAUAUUAUAUUUGAUAUACUUAUGAGAUAUAUCUUUGUACUAUUUUGAUAUACCACUAUCAAAUGUAAUAAUACCUCAAAUAUGAGGGGUAUUUCACAUUUUCUUCAUAUUCAUCAAUUUUCAUUUUCUUCCUAUUCAAGUCCAAAGAAAUAAAUUAAUUAAAAAGUUAGUGAAUCAUAUGCAUUUGAUAUAUCCAAC